RNAcentral lists this ribosomal RNA (252 nucleotides) under uncultured bacterium. RNAcentral's name for it is "partial 16S ribosomal RNA". It matches the Rfam family "Bacterial small subunit ribosomal RNA", at positions 524 to 776 of the family's 1533-position model. The record is from RNAcentral.
UACGUAGGUCCCGAGCGUUGUCCGGAUUUAUUGGGCGUAAAGCGAGCGCAGGUGGUUUAUUAAGUCUGGUGUAAAAGGCAGUGGCUCAACCAUUGUAUGCAUUGGAAACUGGUGGACUUGAGUGCGGGAGAGGAGAGUGGAAUUCCUAGUGUAGCGGUGAAAUGCGUAGAUAUUAGGAGGAACACCAGUGGCGAAGGCGGCCUGCUGGACGACAACUGACGGUGAGGCGCGAAAGCGUGGGGAGCAAACAGG